Long non-coding RNA from Leptinotarsa decemlineata (Colorado potato beetle), 348 nucleotides. The record is from RefSeq and is a predicted model, not a curated record. NCBI's taxonomy places the organism in Eukaryota, Metazoa, Arthropoda, Insecta, Coleoptera, Chrysomelidae.
CAUGGCAAGUGGCAACAUUGUUGCGGGUUGCCUAGUAACUGCUUCAAAGGUGACCUUGAGAUUUGGGGUGAAAGUUGUAAAGUGUGAGUCAGAGUUUGUCCUACACAGUUGCUUUUGGAAGUGUUUUUAUUUUUGUUCGGCGAGCUGUAUUUUUAUAGACAUUCUGCCUGGUUGGUACAUCAAUUUAGUGACAUUUGUGAUUCGGGAAGAGUAUGGGAUUCACAUAGUAAUUUCUUGAUGAGAGAUUCUUUGUAUUUAAACUUCAACCCCUUAAAGUUGUUACACUAAUAGUUAUGUUGUACUGAUGAAUUGUAAAUAUACAUAAAUAAAAAACUUGACCAUCAAUGA